This is a long non-coding RNA of Mobula hypostoma (lesser devil ray), 904 nucleotides long. RefSeq lists it as uncharacterized. The transcript is spliced from 4 exons. NCBI's taxonomy places the organism in Eukaryota, Metazoa, Chordata, Chondrichthyes, Myliobatiformes, Myliobatidae. The record is from RefSeq and is a predicted model, not a curated record.
UUGGUCUACAUUGGAGCAACAGGCAAUCUGCUGGAGGCAUGCACCAGCUCAAGCGGCAUCUGUGGGAAAAGAGUGGAAAUUUCUACUUUUCUGGUCCAAAAUCUGCAAAAUCUGGACUAGAGGAACAGUAUUCUACAACCUGAGAGCAUGAACUUCGAAUUUGCCAACUUCCGGCAUUCACAAGAAAACAAAGAAAUACAAUCGAAUCAAUGAAAAGCUGCGCAGAAAGAAAGACUGACAACAAGCAAUGUCCAAGUGUGCAACUGUGCAAUAAAUAGACAAAUAAAUAAUACCGAGAACAUCAGUUGUAGAGUCCUUGAAAGUGAGUCAAUAGGUUGUGGAAUCAAUUCAGAAUUGAGAAUCUGGGCAUUGCUGAGAAGGGCAUCAUUUACACAGAUCUCUGUUUGCCCUUAAGAAAAUGGUUGUAAGCCGUCUUAAAUUCUGUUGUCACGCUGACGAAGAUACUCCUGCAGAACUUUUGGGAGAAAAGGAAAAACUCCAAAUGUCACUCUCCAUCAAAUGAAACAGCAACACACGAACAUAUUCCAGCAGUACGCACAGAAAAUGUUAACAUAUGUCCAACUUCAAUUGCAACAGAAUCUACCUGUGUAACAUAUGACCAUAAUCACCAGGGGCAUUGUCUGGAUCGUGAAGGCUGCCAGUUCCAGUGGAGGCACAAUAAUAAUCUCCAGGGGCAGCAUCUUCAUUGUGAAAAAUGACGGCUCCACGAUGCUGACAACACCACAACUACCAGGAGAAGCUUGCAGCUUGCUGCUUGUCUUUUACAGUUGUAAUGGAAAAUAAGAUAACAAAAGCAAAACAAAGUUUAUCAAAAAUGUACUGUUUUUCAAUAAUUGUGCUCCUGUUAACAUUUUGCUCUACAAUAUACAGUACUUCAUCAGUA